GCCGAUUUGAUUUGCUUUACAGUGGAGCUUCUUUUACUUGUUUCCAUUAGCUAACGUCAUCUGGCCAGUUAUGAUGAGCUAGCGUGGCAAAUUCGGACAUUCGGCGUUUAGUGUUUAACGCGCCGAAGCAGCAUCGUUACAACCAUUUUUAGCCACGUCAACUGCUCAAAAGAACUGUUAUGUCCGCCGCGGCCCCGCGGCGAGCGCCGGACGGGCACGGCGCUAGCUGCUAAGCUAACUACCUGCAGCUUACCUGAUGACGAACCUGUCACAUCCAGCUGCACUUCAGCAGCCGCCGCCGCCUCUCGAGAGCGCUAUUUCGGUUGUGACGGGACCCGCGGACGGUAGGAACAGGACGGGGAGAAGAAAAGAUAUGGGUCUUCGGACGAGACUCCUGACUUUUUCUGUCCUCGGGCCAACUUUUCGUGGUUUCAAAAAACGGUAUUUUAUUGAAAAGGCAGAAGUAAGCUUUGACUCGCUACACGCUAGCUCGCUAACUACUUUUUACACUCGGGUAAGAAGCAACAAGCGAUUUUGACAGUUCGAGGAAUGUUGAAUGUGCUUCGCUAGGGGGUUAUGAAUAAGGUUUAAACAUUAAUUACGUAUUGAUUUUUAACUAUAUCGAAUGUUAUAAGCUGAAACUAAAGUAGAAACAAUGUGCUGUUGUAAUAUGUCGCAACACGUUGUUCAACUUCAACACGGGGAUUUACUUUUAUUCGAUCAACAACAGAUGUUCAACCCUACAGGGAAAGUGGUACAGUCCAGAUGCACCAAGGGUAAAGGGAGGGGGAGCUCGUUACCUAGGAAACAACAGUGAAUCUCCCUGUGGCGAAAGAUGUGGCCGCUGAUUUAUGGACCAGUGCCUCCCUGUCUGUCCGUCAAAACCGCCUGCCAUCGAAUAGAUGAUUAAGAUUGAGAAGAUUAAAGACAUUUGACAACACCUAUUGCAAUUUAUUCUGUGAGAAAAGCAGAUCGAAGCACCUAAAUCAGCAUACCAUCACCACUUGAUGCUUUGCGGAGGAGCAUGUACAUCCCCAGCAUUUUGCGGGCUAAUUGCAUGCAGCUGGCUGAAUUUAGCGAUCCAUGACACACAGAGACCCUUUGUCAGCAAGAAGCACAGCGAGUCAACAAGGAGUAAGUCACAAAUAUCCCCGGAAUGAGCAGAGAGGCACAAAUUUAGCCCCACUGACUGCUGCCCACGCCAUGUGCUGCCUAUUGAGCGUGCGGACAAUGAACACAGCCAUCACAGACUGCUCUGUCAGGUCCAAGGCCAUGCUUCAGUGGAAUGGUACCAGGAAUGAAGGCAUCGCAGUUUGACAGGAGUCGGGCCAUCGGCGGUGUCGGGGACCAAAGACGGUGUUAGUUAUUGCUGUGAUAUUUCAUAACAACAGCUGUUCGAAGCAGAGACCUUAAUGGGCUCAAUUUAUUGCCAAUCAAUGAUCAAUCCUGAGUCAGACGGGUGGUGGUCGGCAUGUGCUUCUGCCUCGUGUCACAAUAUAUUGUGGCAUUUGAUGCAUCGCAGUGGUGGCGUUCACAUUACUCCACAUUAUCUCAGUCAGAGCGACAGUGUUAAACAAGUGUUAAAGAAAACCAAGAAUGCCGACGUGUUCGUGCUCUAUUCAGCAUUUAUUAUCAGAAGGAUAUCAGCGCCGCAAGGUUUUACCCAACCACAUAUUUUAUCUGUGUAUUGCAAGUGGAAAAGCAAAAUACAACACAUCCAAGGCAGCGCCACAAUGGAGGAAAACUGUAUUUUUAAGACCUAACUGAUAAUGAAAAACUGCUUGCAUAGGUCAAGCUCCUCCCCAAAGGCCUAAUGUAUUGAUCUCAAUGCAGAGGAGGCAGCGCCGGCUGCUGCCGGCAAUACUUCUCUUAAAAGUCCCUGAACGCCCACACACUCGCAAACAAACACAAACUUGCCUCACGCUCAUGGAAAACACAACGGCGCAGAAACAUCAAUUUAACAAGAUCUCUUCUUUACUUUGACUUUGAGGUCGGCGCGUUGACGUCGGCAAAGGGGUUGAAACGCUUGUGUCACUUCCCCCUCCUCCUUGCUCUGUGCUGGACGAAGCCAUUUAGCUGCUAUUCAGCGGCGCGCUUAUCGUGGCUGCCGUUUGGGAAACGGGGGCCUCGGCACAUGCUGUGCUCAUCAAGCUGUUUUGACUUUACAUUCGUUGUACUUGUAGUCUGCGGGGAUGACCUCGGGGUCAAACUGAGGGGGCGUCGGGCUGAAAAACAACCGCUGCAUCUAGGCAACAUCGCUGUUGUCCAAAGCGCACAAUGAGGUGGACCCCCGCGGAUAGAAGACAUUAAUAAACAACGGGCCUUAAAGACAGGCCACACACACACACACACACACAGCGGUGGGCAUGGCUUUUGCGGCAAGAACAGAAUUGAUCUUGGAAAUCCUUGCACACUGAACGAGAACACACCUGAUUGUGAAAGCUUUUGACCCAAAUGCUUAAUGCAGCGCAGGUUUAUUAGAAAAGAGCUUAUGGCCGACACAAAGCUCAAUGGGUGUAUGUGUGCGCACCCUCAUGGAGGUUUAGUCAAUUCGAUUGAUGGUGGGGAGAUCACAUGGGCAUUUUACCCCCACAAUGACUUGGACGAGCGUUCUCUUUUUACGCAUCACAUGGUCUGACCAGUGAUGGAUUGGAGACGGGCCUUCGCCGGGGCUCGGAGCAAACCGGUUACCGAGUGCAUGUGCAU
Long non-coding RNA from Gasterosteus aculeatus aculeatus (three-spined stickleback), 2706 nucleotides. NCBI's taxonomy places the organism in Eukaryota, Metazoa, Chordata, Actinopteri, Perciformes, Gasterosteidae. The record is from Ensembl.